ACAGCAGUAGCCGCGGUAAUACGUAGGUGGCAAGCGUUGUCCGGAAUUAUUGGGCGUAAAGGGCUCGCAGGCGGUUUCUUAAGUCUGAUGUGAAAGCCCCCGGCUCAACCGGGGAGGGUCAUUGGAAACUGGGAAACUUGAGUGCAGAAGAGGAGAGUGGAAUUCCACGUGUAGCGGUGAAAUGCGUAGAGAUGUGGAGGAACACCAGUGGCGAAGGCGACUCUCUGGUCUGUAACUGACGCUGAGGAGCGAAAGCGUGGGGAGCAAACAGGAUUAGAUACCCCAGUAGUCCCUGUCUCUUAUAC
RNAcentral lists this ribosomal RNA (305 nucleotides) under uncultured bacterium. RNAcentral's name for it is "partial 16S ribosomal RNA". It matches the Rfam family "Bacterial small subunit ribosomal RNA", at positions 506 to 807 of the family's 1533-position model. The record is from RNAcentral.